This 253-nucleotide ribosomal RNA is filed under the name uncultured bacterium. RNAcentral describes it as "partial 16S ribosomal RNA". It matches the Rfam family "Bacterial small subunit ribosomal RNA", at positions 524 to 776 of the family's 1533-position model. The record is from RNAcentral.
UACGUAGGGACCAAGCGUUGUUCGGAUUUACUGGGCGUAAAGGGCGCGUAGGCGGCGCGGUAAGUCACUUGUGAAAUCUCUGAGCUUAACUCAGAACGGCCAAGUGAUACUGCAGAGCUUGAGUACAGAUGAGGUAGGCGGAAUUGACGGUGUAGCGGUGAAAUGCUUAGAUAUCGAGAGGAACACCUGCGGCGAAGGCGGGUUGCUGGGCUGACACUGACGCUGAUGCGCGAAAGCUAGGGGAGCGAACGGG